AUUGAACGCUGGCGGCAGGCCUAACACAUGCAAGUCGAGCGAGCGGCGGACGGGUGAGUAAUGCUUGGGAAACUGCCUGAUGGAGGGGGAUAACUACUGGAAACGGUAGCUAAUACCGCAUACCAUCAGAUGUGCCCAGGUGGGAGUAGCUAGUAGGUGGGGUAACGGCUCACCUAGGCGACGAUCCCUAGCUGGUCUGAGAGGAUGACCAGCCACACGGGAACUGAGACACGGCCCAGACUCCUACGGGAGGCAGCAGUGGGGAAUAUUGCGCAAUGGGCGCAAGCCUGAUGCAGCAAUGCCGCGUGUGUGAGGAAGGCCUUCGGGUUGUAAAGCACUUUCAGCGGGGAGGCGUUACCCGCAGAAGAAGCACCGGCUAACUCCGUGCCAGCAGCCGCGGUAAUAC
This 406-nucleotide ribosomal RNA is filed under the name uncultured bacterium. RNAcentral's name for it is "partial 16S ribosomal RNA". It matches the Rfam family "Bacterial small subunit ribosomal RNA", at positions 29 to 526 of the family's 1533-position model. The record is from RNAcentral.